RNAcentral lists this unclassified non-coding RNA (915 nucleotides) under Hevea brasiliensis (rubber tree). The record is from RNAcentral. Lineage: Eukaryota; Viridiplantae; Streptophyta; Magnoliopsida; Malpighiales; Euphorbiaceae.
CUCUCUCUCUCUCUCUCUCUAUAGCCUCCUGGACUGUUUUGCUAGUAUUACGUGUUACUGCACAAUUGAGAUGAAUUGCAAGCUCUUGUAUUUGCUUGUAAUCUGACUGGGGUUAUUGGGGAGUCAAGUGUCUGCAUAUUGGGUUUGGGUUAGUUCCAAUGAGAUUUUAAUAAAUCCAACAAAAGCCCUCCUCUCUGUCCUCUUGUGGAUUUUUUUCUUUUUUCAAAGAUAGAAGGAUAUCGUUCCAUGGCCUUAAGGAGGCAAUAUAUGUUGUACAAAAUGAUAUUGAAAAGCAAGAUUAUGUCGAAAGGAUGAAUUAUAAAGAAAUUAUUGAGCCAGACAAUGGGCUGCUGUGUUAGCAUCUCUUCUGACAAACACAAAGGAGCAAUUCUGAAAUUCUUUGGGGAGUUGAGAGAUAUCAAAGAUCACAGCUUGAAUGGAAAGAGGAUUUAAAGCACCCUUGAGAAUUAACUGUCUCCGAGUCGCCUUCGAUAAGCACUCUGGAAAUGUCCAUUUUCCGUGCAAGAAUGACUGCCUCUCGACAGGCAAGGCUCUCAAGGAUAAGAUAAGGGGAUCAACUUGAUUAUACCAUAGUUUACAAGACCAAUCAAGGAAGUUACUGCUGAAAUCACGAGCUAUAACAGCAGUUGCUCCAACCCUCCUGUGUAUGUCAAUGGCAGGAUCAAAAUUCAAUUUAAAAAACAUAGGAUUUAUCUCUUCACUUGAUCCCAUUAUUAUUAUUAUUAUUUUAACAGAACAUCAAAUUAUUCUUGAUCAAUGCUUGAAGUCCCCAUCUUAUAUAAAACAUAGUAUGGUGAGAGAAAUUAUUGGUACGCAAUUUAAAUGUGAGAGCCGCGUAAAUCAUGACCUUCUUUAGUUGGACGUGUUUGACUUAGUGGCUGUGAUGAGGUUAAA